RNAcentral lists this transfer RNA (80 nucleotides) under Pluteus cervinus. Its description in RNAcentral is "tRNA-Gln". It matches the Rfam family "tRNA". From Rfam's summary of the family: Transfer RNA (tRNA) molecules are approximately 80 nucleotides in length. Their secondary structure includes four short double-helical elements and three loops (D, anti-codon, and T loops). Lineage: Eukaryota; Fungi; Basidiomycota; Agaricomycetes; Agaricales; Pluteaceae. The record is from RNAcentral.
GGUGCUAUAGUGUAGUGGUUAUCACUCGGGAUUUUGACCACAAUAUUCCCGAAACCCAGGUUCGAGCCCUGGUAGCACCU